RNAcentral lists this unclassified non-coding RNA (334 nucleotides) under soil metagenome. RNAcentral describes it as "partial contains 5.8S ribosomal RNA, internal transcribed spacer 2, and large subunit ribosomal RNA". The stretch from base 1 to 120 matches the Rfam family "5.8S ribosomal RNA", at positions 35 to 154 of the family's 154-position model. The record is from RNAcentral.
GAUGAGGAACGUAGCGAAAUGCGAUAAGUAAUGUGAAUUGCAGAAUUCAGUGAAUCAUCGAAUCUUUGAACGCACAUUGCGCCCGCCAGUAUUCUGGCGGGCAUGCCUGUUCGAGCGUCAUUUCAACCAUCAAGCCCCAGGCUUGUGUUGGGGACCUGCGGCUGCCGCAGGCCCUGAAAACCAGUGGCGGGCUCGCUGUCACACCGGGCGUAGUAGAUUUUAUCUCGCUCAGGGCGUGCUGCGGGUUCCGGCCGUGAAACCCCCUACUUUUAAAGGUUGACCUCGGAUCAGGUAGGAAUACUCGCUGAACUUAAGCAUAUCAAUAAGCGGAGGA